AUUUGCUCAUUUUAAAAAGAUGACGUUUUGAUGACGUCGCAUGGCGACGUUUCAGUACAUUUUGCUUUUUCAGUAAAUACUUCAUCUGUUGAUAAAUACUGUGAACGUUUUGUGCAUAUCUAAAUAGUUCUACCUAGGUUGAAAGAUGUGCUUAGUAUCAAAUCAUAAAAAUACAAAUUGUUUAGUCUCUAAAAAUCUUGUAAGAUUUUCGCUGCUAGUUUUGCUAAAUAGGUGCAAUUUGGGUACUCGGUGCAAUUUGGGUACCGUUACGUUAUAU
RNAcentral lists this long non-coding RNA (277 nucleotides) under Mytilus galloprovincialis (Mediterranean mussel). The record is from RNAcentral. Lineage: Eukaryota; Metazoa; Mollusca; Bivalvia; Mytilida; Mytilidae.